This 465-nucleotide ribosomal RNA is filed under the name Vreelandella stevensii. RNAcentral describes it as "partial 16S ribosomal RNA". It matches the Rfam family "Bacterial small subunit ribosomal RNA", at positions 338 to 795 of the family's 1533-position model. Lineage: Bacteria; Pseudomonadati; Pseudomonadota; Gammaproteobacteria; Oceanospirillales; Halomonadaceae. The record is from RNAcentral.
CCUACGGGUGGCAGCAGUGGGGAAUAUUGGACAAUGGGCGAAAGCCUGAUCCAGCCAUGCCGCGUGUGUGAAGAAGGCCUUCGGGUUGUAAAGCACUUUCAGUGGGGAAGAAAGCCUUGGGGCUAAUACCCUCGAGGAAGGACAUCACCCACAGAAGAAGCACCGGCUAACUCCGUGCCAGCAGCCGCGGUAAUACGGAGGGUGCGAGCGUUAAUCGGAAUUACUGGGCGUAAAGCGCGCGUAGGCGGUCUGUUAAGCCGGUUGUGAAAGCCCCGGGCUCAACCUGGGAACGGCAUCCGGAACUGUCAGGCUAGAGUGCAGGAGAGGAAGGUAGAAUUCCCGGUGUAGCGGUGAAAUGCGUAGAGAUCGGGAGGAAUACCAGUGGCGAAGGCGGCCUUCUGGACUGACACUGACGCUGAGGUGCGAAAGCGUGGGUAGCAAACAGGAUUAGAUACCCGGGUAGUC